Oncorhynchus tshawytscha (Chinook salmon) is the source of this 311-nucleotide long non-coding RNA. NCBI's taxonomy places the organism in Eukaryota, Metazoa, Chordata, Actinopteri, Salmoniformes, Salmonidae. The record is from Ensembl.
GCUUUUGGAUUUCCACUGGGCUGUACCUAUGGUUAUGAGAGCGAUAAAUCAAGUACAAUACCUAGGUCGACCUGUGAUGAGCAGCAAAACACCGGAAAGCUUCUAGCCUACCAGAAAGUUACAAGAAGAACAAGAACGGUUACCUCAUCCGGUCAUGUGGCAUUUAUUGUUUAAAGAUUUUUCGCGCCACGCUAGACAUCUGGAUGCUGGACAGAUAACAGGAGAGGGACCCUAGGAGGGGUGUAAAGGAGUUGAUGAAAUCCUGUGAAGACAGAAAAUCAGAUGGUGUGGCCUGUGAGGACCCCCCCAAG